GUGAUCAAGCUUGUCAAGAAAGUUUAUCAACACAAGUGUAUACAUAUAUGUUGGAUAAAUAUCAUAGUAAGUACAACCCACAAGAAACUCUGCGAUACAAACAUCUC
This is a long non-coding RNA of Hibiscus syriacus, 107 nucleotides long. RefSeq lists it as uncharacterized. The record is from RefSeq and is a predicted model, not a curated record. The transcript is spliced from 4 exons. Lineage: Eukaryota; Viridiplantae; Streptophyta; Magnoliopsida; Malvales; Malvaceae.